Molecule: ribosomal RNA, 401 nt
Filed under: uncultured bacterium
Lineage: Bacteria
Description: bacterial SSU rRNA
Rfam family: Bacterial small subunit ribosomal RNA
Source: RNAcentral
CUAAUACCGAAUGUGACUGCCGGAGGGAAUCCUCUGGUUUUCAAAGUUGGGGACCGCAAGGCCUGACGCUUUACGAUAAGCCCGCAACCUAUCAGCUAGUUGGUGAGGUAACGGCUCACCAAGGCUAAGACGGGUAGCUGGUCUGAGAGGACGACCAGCCACACUGGAACUGAGACACGGUCCAGACACCUACGGGUGGCAGCAGUCGAGAAUUUUUCUCAAUGGGCGAAAGCCUGAAGGAGCGACGCCGCGUGGGGGAUGAAGGGCUUCGGCCCGUAAACCCCUGUCAUUUGUGAACAAAGCUUUUGGCCUAACACGCUAAAAGUUGAUAGUAGCGAAAGAGGAAGGGACGGSUAACUCUGUGCCAGCAGCCCGCGGUAAUACAGAGGUCCCAAGCGUUG